GGAAGUAUGGUCAAAUGGUACAUUGUGUGUUUAGCAAAUACAAAGCCCUGGGUUCAAGCCCAAGUGCUACCA
Molecule: transfer RNA, 72 nt
Filed under: Dipodomys ordii (Ord's kangaroo rat)
Lineage: Eukaryota; Metazoa; Chordata; Mammalia; Rodentia; Heteromyidae
Rfam family: tRNA
About the family: Transfer RNA (tRNA) molecules are approximately 80 nucleotides in length. Their secondary structure includes four short double-helical elements and three loops (D, anti-codon, and T loops).
Source: Rfam by way of RNAcentral